UACGUAGGGGGCUAGCGUUGUCCGGAAUCAUUGGGCGUAAAGCGCGUGUAGGCGGUUCGGUAAGUCUGCUGUGAAAGUCGGGGGCUCAACCCUCGAAUGCCGGUGGAUACUGUCGGGCUCGAAUCCGGAAGAGGUGAGUGGAAUUCCUGGUGUAGCGGUGAAAUGCGCAGAUAUCAGGAGGAACACCAAUGGCGAAGGCAGCUCACUGGGACGGUAUUGACGCUGAGACGCGAAAGCGUGGGGAGCAAACAGG
Molecule: ribosomal RNA, 253 nt
Filed under: uncultured bacterium
Lineage: Bacteria
Description: partial 16S ribosomal RNA
Rfam family: Bacterial small subunit ribosomal RNA
Source: RNAcentral